This 86-nucleotide transfer RNA is filed under the name Colletotrichum sublineola. It matches the Rfam family "tRNA". From Rfam's summary of the family: Transfer RNA (tRNA) molecules are approximately 80 nucleotides in length. Their secondary structure includes four short double-helical elements and three loops (D, anti-codon, and T loops). The record is from Rfam by way of RNAcentral. Lineage: Eukaryota; Fungi; Ascomycota; Sordariomycetes; Glomerellales; Glomerellaceae.
GCAACCGUGGUGCAGUGGUUUAGCAUUCCAGCCUCCCAUACCUAGGGAACCAGCUGGGGACCUGGGUUCGAACCCCGGCGGUUGCA